GCACCUUCCGAUACGGCUACCUUGUUACGACUUUACCCCAGUCAUGAACCCUGCCGUGGCAGUCGCCCUCCUUGCGGUUAGGCUAACGGCUUCUGGCAAAACCCACUCCCAUGGUAUGACGGGCGGUGUGUACAAGACCCGGGAACGUAUUCACCGCGACAUUCUGAUCCGCGAUUACUAGCGAUUCCAGCUUCACGUAGUCGAGUUGCAGACUACGAUCCGGACUACGAUGCAUUUUCUGAGAUUAGCUCCCCCUCGCGGGUUGGCAACCCUCUGUAUGCACCAUUGUAUGACGUGUGAAGCCCUACCCAUAAGGGCCAUGAGGACUUGACGUCAUCCCCACCUUCCUCCGGUUUGUCACCGGCAGUCUCUUUAGAGUGCUCUUGCGUAGCAACUAAAGACAAGGGUUGCGCUCGUUGCGGGACUUAACCCAACAUCUCACGACACGAGCUGACGACAGCCAUGCAGCACCUGUGUUCACUUUCCCUUACGGGCACCUAAUGUAUCUCUACUUCGUUAGUGACAUGUCAAGGGUAGGUAAGGUUUUUCGCGUUGCAUCGAAUUAAUCCACAUCAUCCACCGCUUGUGCGGGUCCCCGUCAAUUCCUUUGAGUUUUAAUCUUGCGACCGUACUCCCCAGGCGGCUGACUUCACGCGUUAGCUACGUUACUCAGGAUGAAAAUCCCG
This 686-nucleotide ribosomal RNA is filed under the name uncultured bacterium. Its description in RNAcentral is "partial 16S ribosomal RNA". The record is from RNAcentral.